UCCUUUUUCGGUGAACAUGCGAAUGCUCCAUGCUCAAUUAGGCUCUGAGCAAUUGAGUCACUGUGUUCAUCAAUGGAGAAUAGUGCAUCUUGAGAUAAAAACUUGGUGAGAUAUUUUCAUUUGUACACAUUUAGGAUAAACCCUGAGAUUUUCGUUCGAUUCCACCAUACAAAGCAGCCGUGACAGAUACUCAAUUCUGAUGAUUUUUAUGUUUAUGCUUUAAAUAUGCUGGCUUGUUUGCAGGAUUGAUCCAAGGCCGUCCGAUACUAGUGUAUUGAGUAUGGCCGAUCAUCACCGGUCCAAUCGGGCGUGGACCGAUUCGCAUGUUGACGUGUUAUAUUGCCGAGGGGGCAGUCAGAGCGUACAUGAUAGGAUAGGCACAGACCCCCGCAUUAUUAAUUGGAUACGUGAUGCAGGUUUUUAUGAGAUAUAUCAAAUUGGCAAUAUCCAGUUGGAUUGGCAUCUUGUGACCGCGUUGGUGGAGCGAUGGAGGCCAGAGACACACACUUUCCACUUGCCGCACGGGGAGGCGACUAUCACAUUACAGGAUGUCGCAGUGUUGUUCAGGCUACUGAUUGAUAGGUUGCCCGUCACUAGUUGUACAGUUGGACCAGUACAGGAAGGAGGCGCCGGUUAGGGGGGAGGACUUCGCCGCAUGUGCGAGAGAUUGUUAGGAGUGGUGCCUCUAGAUGGUGAGCUUGUUGGUGCCCUCAUUCGCAUGCGGUUUCUAGAGGGGGAGAUGUUUCGCCAGCUUCCGGCUGAUGCUGAUGAUCACACUAUAGCGUGUCACGCACGUGCCCACCUAUGCGAUUGAUAUGUGGGACGCUGUUCUGCGACCUAUUGGGGAGUUAUGCACACUUGAUGUUCCUUCCACUUCUCUCGGAACGAGCAGAGAUACGCCAUUAUAGUUGGGGCUCUGCGACGUUAGUCUGGCUAUACUAGGAGAUAUGUCGCGCAGCUGACGUUUCCCACUCACAGAUCGGAGGAGCACUCCGCUUAUUGCACGUCGUUAGCUCCUACGCGUCACGGUCUCCGGCGUCUUAUUCAGAGGGACAAGGAGGGACACCCAAUUGACCCAGCUCCACUCGCGUGGAGAGGUGGAGGGAUCAGUUGUUGGCACCUAAUGUUGCGCAACACACGCUACCCUGAUAUAGAUUCGAGCUGGACAUGCACCGGGAGCACGAGUUCGUAUGGGCGCCCUACACUGAUGACAUUGUUGCCGACCUACCGCCUGGCUAUGCAGUUGGGUCGGACCUCUAGGUUGCCUGAGUUCCACUCAUAUGUUUUCAUAUUGUCAAGUGGCAUCUCCCAGACCGAGUGAUGCGCCAGUUUGGCUUUCGACAGGGCAUCCCUAGCCACUUCUGUACUUUGGGGGUCGAUGUACGUAGGGAGGACUUGCACGAGAUUGAUGGUCGCGAUCAGGGGAACACGGAUUGGGUUGCCGAGCAAGCGAUGUACGUGAGUAUGUGGGGACAUAGGCGGGAGUACAUCGUGGAGGGAGUGCGAGCGGAUGAGCUAAAGGGUCCAGAGGAUCCGUAUUACACGUGGUAUAGGUCGAUCACACGUCACUUCGUAGAUAGGACCGCGGCGGUCUACAUGAGCCUCGCUGACGUAUUACACCAGGUCGACUCGCUAUCAUCAGACCCCGCUAUAAGCGAUUUAGCGAAAGCUGGUUUGGACAUUGUCUACGAGGACGGGCGAUGGAUCCCUACCCCACGCCGGCCCCCGGCCCCAUGAGGUGGUCGAGGAGCUCCAGUACGAGGGGUUGAGCAGCUACCUCUAGCCGUCCAUCGAGUCCGGCCUUCUCACCGCCCAUUGUACAUGAGGAGUAUGUGUUUGGGUCGUCCACACCGUAUGCCCCAUCGACAACUGCUAAUUUUGAGGGACCUUCCAGUAGACCGGUGGAUUAUCGAUCUGACUCUGCCACGACACCAUUGAUGUCGUACUUACUAGACAACCCUCUCGAUGCGGAGGAGGUGGACGCACCCGAGUUGCCGGCUCAGACUCGUCCAGAGACUACAUAUGACAUAGCUCCCCGUCCGCUUCACCUAGAGAUAGAUUAUCCAGUACCUAUGGGCGGAGAGGACAGACAUGCAGCCUCUCGAUGUGACCGGACACCAGACGCGGACGAGCAGCCAGGUGAGGGCAGACGCAGACGGCAGCCACCCCGACACCGAAGACGAACUCCAUGUGGUACCGAGUAGGCGAUAUAUGUAUUUCUUAAUAAGUUUAUACUUUCAUUUGUACAUCAGAUAUAUGUU
Molecule: RNA transcript, 2261 nt
Organism: Malania oleifera
Lineage: Eukaryota; Viridiplantae; Streptophyta; Magnoliopsida; Santalales; Ximeniaceae
Gene name: serine/threonine-protein phosphatase 7 long form homolog
Exons: 4
Source: RefSeq, a predicted model, not a curated record